RNAcentral lists this ribosomal RNA (813 nucleotides) under uncultured Bacteroidota bacterium. RNAcentral's name for it is "bacterial SSU rRNA". It matches the Rfam family "Bacterial small subunit ribosomal RNA", at positions 66 to 883 of the family's 1533-position model. Lineage: Bacteria; Pseudomonadati; Bacteroidota. The record is from RNAcentral.
ACGGUAGACUACUUUCGGGUAGUUGAGAGUGGCGCACGGGUGCCUAACGCGUAUGCAACCUACCUUGUACAGGGGGAUAGCCCGGAGAAAUUCGGAUUAAUACCCCAUAGCAUUACCAGAUGGCAUCUGAAGGUAAUUAAAGAUUUAUCGGUACAAGAUGGGCAUGCGUGACAUUAGUUAGUUGGUAGGGUAACGGCCUACCAAGACUAUGAUGUCUAGGGGUUCUGAGAGGAUGAUCCCCCACACUGGUACUGAGAUACGGACCAGACUCCUACGGGAGGCAGCAGUAGGGAAUAUUGGUCAAUGGGCGAGAGCCUGAACCAGCCAUGCCGCGUGCAGGAAGACGGCCUUCUGGGUUGUAAACUGCUUUUAUACGGGAAGAAAAGACCCUUGCGAGGGAGAUUGCCGGUACCGUAUGAAUAAGCACCGGCUAACUCCGUGCCAGCAGCCGCGGUAAUACGGAGGGUGCAAGCGUUGUCCGGAUUUAUUGGGUUUAAAGGGUGCGUAGGCGGGCCUUUAAGUCAGUGGUGAAAGCCUGCAGCUUAACUGUAGAACUGCCAUUGAUACUGGAGGCCUUGAGUGUACUAGAGGUAGGCGGAAUUUAUGGUGUAGCGGUGAAAUGCAUAGAUACCAUAAAGAACACCGAUAGCGUAGGCAGCUUACUGGAGUACAACUGACGCUGAGGCACGAAAGCAUGGGGAGCGAACAGGAUUAGAUACCCUGGUAGUCAUGCCGUAAACGAUGAUUACUCGAUGUGGGCGAUACCCUGUCAGCGUCCAAGCGAAAGCGUUAAGUAAUCCCCCUGGGGAGUAC